RNAcentral lists this long non-coding RNA (494 nucleotides) under Olea europaea (common olive). Its description in RNAcentral is "long non-coding RNA (OEUR_LNC006200)". Lineage: Eukaryota; Viridiplantae; Streptophyta; Magnoliopsida; Lamiales; Oleaceae. The record is from RNAcentral.
CUUUUUUUUUAUUCAGAUACACUUGUCCAAACUUGGGAUUUAUUAGAAGUAUUGGAACAUCAUCUGGUUUAAAAUCUUAUAACCAAGAUAUGUUUUCUCCAAUGUGGUUUUAUACCCAGCACAAAGGCAAUUAGAAGUAGGUCAUCCAUCACAAUCGCACAAAAAGGAAAUCACUUGAGGGAUGAUGUGGAUCCAUUAUCAGGUAAAAUACAGGUCAAGAAGGCAGAUUAGAUUAUAGUCACGUAGAACUGAUAAGAGAGAAGCAAUCAAAACUAAAGUGAAUUGUAAAUGAUAAAUUCAAGCAUACAAAGCAAAGUGGGAAUAUUGGAAUGGCUACUGGGUUUCCUUUUGAUAGUAAAACAUUGGGCAAUUAAUAUUCAACUGCAAAAAGAAAAACCUGAAUUCUUGGCUUCUUCAGGAUAACAAAAAUUUCAAUGAAAAGGAAAUUAUAUAAACAUGCAAACACAUACAGAGAGAGACCUUGAAGAAGUGAG